Non-coding RNA from Triticum aestivum (bread wheat), 115 nucleotides. Lineage: Eukaryota; Viridiplantae; Streptophyta; Magnoliopsida; Poales; Poaceae. The record is from Rfam.
AAAGUACUCCCUCCUUCCCGAAUUACUUGUCGCGGGUAUGGAUGUAUCUAGAUGUAUUUUAAUUCUAGAUACAUCCAUUUCUGCAGCGAGUAAUUUGGAACGGAGGGAGUAGGUU